This 116-nucleotide non-coding RNA is filed under the name Thiobacillus sp. RNAcentral's name for it is "Glycine sequence". It matches the Rfam family "Glycine riboswitch aptamer". From Rfam's summary of the family: This family represents the bacterial glycine riboswitch. Glycine riboswitches usually consist of two metabolite-binding aptamers domains with similar structures in tandem. The record is from RNAcentral. Lineage: Bacteria; Pseudomonadati; Pseudomonadota; Betaproteobacteria; Nitrosomonadales; Thiobacillaceae.
UGGAAAAACUCUGGAGAGCGCGGUCGCACGAUCGCCACCGAAGGGGCAGCGGCUCGCAGGUUUGAUUCAAACCCGCACGCCGUAAUCUCUCAGGUACCAAGGACAGAGGGGUGAAG